UCAAAUUUUAAGUGAGCAUGCGAGAGGAGAGAAAACCAAUAGAUGGCAGCACUGUUACGUGUAACGUGUUACUGUCAAGUUAUCACCAUUCUAUCCAUACUCCAAGGAAUAUUUUAUACAAUGUGCAUAAUCAUCAAGUUAAUUCCCAUCAAAUUUCCAUAUGAAUUUGUGUUUAGAUUAAAAUAUGUGACUACAAAUGGCUAUUUAUAGGGUAUCCCACUAUAUUUAUAAAUAUUAUAGUUGGCUCAAAUUCUGGGUUUUCAGAAGGGUUGUUGUGCCUCAGUAUUUGGGGUGUGUAGUGGCAAACGAUACAGACAACAAAUGUAUGCAUGACUGAUGUGCACAAAUAUGA
This is a long non-coding RNA of Syngnathus acus (greater pipefish), 352 nucleotides long. RefSeq lists it as uncharacterized. The transcript has 2 exons. The record is from RefSeq and is a predicted model, not a curated record. NCBI's taxonomy places the organism in Eukaryota, Metazoa, Chordata, Actinopteri, Syngnathiformes, Syngnathidae.